CCUACGGGAGGCUGCAGUAGGGAAUAUUGCUCAAUGGGGGAAACCCUGAAGCAGCAACGCCGCGUGGAGGAUGAAGGUUUUCGGAUUGUAAACUCCUUUUGUUAGAGAAGAUAAUGACGGUAUCUAACGAAUAAGCACCGGCUAACUCCGUGCCAGCAGCCGCGGUAAUACGGAGGAUGCAAGCGUUACUCGGAAUCACUGGGCGGAAAGAGCGCGUAGGCGGGAUAGCAAGUCAGAUGUGAAAUCCUAUGGCUUAACCAUAGAACUGCAUUUGAAACUGUUAUUCUAGAGUAUGGGAGAGGUAGGUGGAAUUCUUGGUGUAGGGGUAAAAUCCGUAGAGAUCAAGAGGAAUACUCAUUGCGAAGGCGACCUGCUAGAACAUAACUGACGCUGAUGCGCGAAAGCGUGGGGAGCAAACAGGAUUAGAUACCCUGGUAGUC
RNAcentral lists this ribosomal RNA (440 nucleotides) under uncultured bacterium. RNAcentral's name for it is "partial 16S ribosomal RNA". It matches the Rfam family "Bacterial small subunit ribosomal RNA", at positions 338 to 795 of the family's 1533-position model. The record is from RNAcentral.